This 253-nucleotide ribosomal RNA is filed under the name uncultured bacterium. Its description in RNAcentral is "partial 16S ribosomal RNA". It matches the Rfam family "Bacterial small subunit ribosomal RNA", at positions 524 to 776 of the family's 1533-position model. The record is from RNAcentral.
UACAGAGGGUGCGAGCGUUAAUCGGAAUUACUGGGCGUAAAGCGCACGUAGGCGGACCAGCAAGUUGGGGGUGAAAUCCCGGGGCUCAACCCCGGAACUGCCUUCAAAACUGCGGGUCUGGAGGUCGAGAGAGGUGAGUGGAAUUCCGAGUGUAGAGGUGAAAUUCGUAGAUAUUCGGAGGAACACCAGUGGCGAAGGCGGCUCACUGGCUCGAUACUGACGCUGAGGUGCGAAAGCGUGGGGAGCAAACAGG